RNAcentral lists this ribosomal RNA (395 nucleotides) under uncultured bacterium. Its description in RNAcentral is "bacterial SSU rRNA". It matches the Rfam family "Bacterial small subunit ribosomal RNA", at positions 28 to 422 of the family's 1533-position model. The record is from RNAcentral.
GACGAACGCUGGCGGCGUGCUUAACACAUGCAAGUCGAGCGGUAAGGCCCUUUCGGGGGUACACGAGCGGCGAACGGGUGAGUAACACGUGGGUGACCUGCCCUCAGCUCUGGGAUAAGCCUGGGAAACCGGGUCUAAUACUGGAUAUGACUCCAUGACGCAUGUUGUGGGGUGGAAAGCCUUGUGCGGCUGAGGAUGGGCCCGCGGCCUAUCAGCUUGUUGGUGGGGUGANGGCCUACCAAGGCGACGACGGGUAGCCGGCCUGAGAGGGCGACCGGCCACACUGGGACUGAGACACGGCCCAGACUCCUACGGGAGGCAGCAGUGGGGAAUCUUGCGCAAUGGGCGAAAGCCUGACGCAGCGACGCCGCGUGAGGGAUGACGGCCUGGUGUAG